This 661-nucleotide ribosomal RNA is filed under the name uncultured bacterium. Its description in RNAcentral is "bacterial SSU rRNA". It matches the Rfam family "Bacterial small subunit ribosomal RNA", at positions 140 to 788 of the family's 1533-position model. The record is from RNAcentral.
GGAAUAACUCCGGGAAACCGGGGCUAAUGCCGGAUAAUAUUUAGAACCGCAUGGUUUAAAAGUGAAAGAUGGUUUUGCUAUCACUUAUAGAUGGACCCGCGCCGUAUUAGCUAGUUAGUGGGGUAAUGGCUUACCAAGGCAACGAUACGUAGCCGACCUGAGAGGGUGAUCGGCCACACUGGAACUGAGACACGGUCCAGACUCCUACGGGAGGCAGCAGUAGGGAAUCUUCCGCAAUGGGCGAAAGCCUGACGGAGCAACGCCGCGUGAGUGAUGAAGGUCUUCGGAUCGUAAAACUCUGUUAUUAGGGAAGAACAAAUGUGUAAGUAACUGUGCACGUCUUGACGGUACCUAAUCAGAAAGCCACGGCUAACUACGUGCCAGCAGCCGCGGUAAUACGUAGGUGGCAAGCGUUAUCCGGAAUUAUUGGGCGUAAAGCGCGCGUAGGCGGUUUCUUAAGUCUGAUGUGAAAGCCCACGGCUCAACCGUGGAGGGUCAUUGGAAACUGGGAAACUUGAGUGCAGAAGAGGAAAGUGGAAUUCCAUGUGUAGCGGUGAAAUGCGCAGAGAUAUGGAGGAACACCAGUGGCGAAGGCGGCUUUCUGGUCUGUAACUGACGCUGAUGUGCGAAAGCGUGGGGAUCAAACAGGAUUAGAUACCCU